AUACGGAGGGUCCGAGCGUUAUCCGGAAUCAUUGGGUUUAAAGGGUCCGUAGGCGGGAAUCUAAGUCAGUGGUGAAAUCUUGCAGCUCAACUGUAAGAUUGCCAUUGAUACUGGAUUUCUUGAAUUAGCGUGAAGUGGUUAGAAUGUGUAGUGUAGCGGUGAAAUGCAUAGAUAUUACACAGAAUACCAAUUGCGAAGGCAGAUCACUAACACUAUAUUGACGCUGAGGGACGAAAGCGUGGGGAGCGAACAGAAUUAGAAACCCUAGUAGUCC
Molecule: ribosomal RNA, 274 nt
Filed under: uncultured bacterium
Lineage: Bacteria
Description: partial 16S ribosomal RNA
Rfam family: Bacterial small subunit ribosomal RNA
Source: RNAcentral